UGGGGAAUCUUGGACAAUGGGGGAAACCCUGAUCCAGCAAUGCCGCGUGUGUGAAGAAGGCCUUCGGGUUGUAAAGCACUUUCAGUAGGGAAGAAAAGCUCAGGGUGAAUACCCCUGAGUCUUGACGUAACCUAAAGAAGAAGCACCGGCUAACUCUGUGCCAGCAGCCGCGGUAAUACAGAGGGUGCAAGCGUUAAUCGGAAUUACUGGGCGUAAAGCGCGCGUAGGCGGUUCGAUAAGUCGGAUGUGAAAUCCCCGGGCUUAACCUGGGAAUUGCAUUCGAGACUGUCAGACUAGAGUAUGGUAGAGGGAAGUGGAAUUCCACAUGUAGCGGUGAAAUGCGUAGAUAUGUGGAGGAACAUCAGUGGCGAAGGCGGCUUCCUGGACCAAUACUGACGCUGAUGCGCGAAAGCGUGGGGAGCAAACAGG
Molecule: ribosomal RNA, 429 nt
Filed under: uncultured Chromatiales bacterium
Lineage: Bacteria; Pseudomonadati; Pseudomonadota; Gammaproteobacteria; Chromatiales
Description: bacterial SSU rRNA
Rfam family: Bacterial small subunit ribosomal RNA
Source: RNAcentral